AGAGUUCGAUCAUGGCUCAGAACGAACGCUGGCGGCACGCCUAAUACAUGCAAGUCGAACGAAGUAGCAAUACUUAGUGGCGAACGGGUGAGUAUAAUGUGGGUAUCUGCCUUUUGGUGAGGAAUAACACGGGGAAACUUGUGCUAAUACCUCAUGAGCCUUCACAGGGAAAGUUUUAACGCCAAAAGAUGAGCCCGCACUCGAUUAGCUAGUUGGUAAGGUAAUGGCUUACCAAGGCUACGAUCAAUAGCUGAUCUGAGAGGAUGAUCAGCCACAUUGGGACUGAGACACGGCCCAAACUCCUACGGGAGGCAGCAGUAGGGAAUCUUGCACAAUGGGGGAAACCCUGAUGCAGCGAUGCCGCGUGAGUGAAGAAGGCCUUUGGGUUGUAAAGCUCUUUCGUCGGGGAAGAAAAUGACUGUACCCGAAUAAGAAGGUCCGGCUAACUUCGUGCCAGCCGCCGCGA
RNAcentral lists this ribosomal RNA (466 nucleotides) under uncultured bacterium. RNAcentral's name for it is "bacterial SSU rRNA". It matches the Rfam family "Bacterial small subunit ribosomal RNA", at positions 8 to 520 of the family's 1533-position model. The record is from RNAcentral.